UUGAUGAUUGUAUUUUAGUGUUAGUGUCU
This 29-nucleotide small RNA is filed under the name Bombyx mori (domestic silkworm). RNAcentral's name for it is "ovarian small RNA-37752". Lineage: Eukaryota; Metazoa; Arthropoda; Insecta; Lepidoptera; Bombycidae. The record is from RNAcentral.